AUAGGCUCAAGCUGGAUAGCCUUCAAUCCGUCACUUUUCCUUCAAGAUUGAUUGAGAAGAGGUGACCCCUUGACCUUCUUUAUUUCUUUUCACCAUUAAUUCUUCUGAAAUUUGCCCCAAAAAAUUGAAAUUUCAAAAGGCUUCUCCAAGAAGCCGUUGCAACCUACAAUUUUGUCUAUAAAAAGAGGUCUUGUUCACCCUUUCUAAGACAGGGUUAAGAGAUAGAGAAUUUUUUGAGUUUUUGGCAUACUAUCCCAUUCACUGAGUUCUCUGUUUUCUUUACUUUACUUUUCUUCGUGUAUUUGUUAAUACUCCCUUUACUCCUAUCUUUAUCACUCACCUCCCGAAGUUGUGUGGAAAUUGACCGUCGUCUACUCGUCGUCUAGGUUCGCUGCUUCGAAAAAGGUAACACUCCUCUUACUUCAUCUAAUUCUGGUAUGCAUUUGCUAUCCACUUUUAUGAGUUAAAGUGAAUUUUGGUGUGCCUAUUAGCUUUACAAUAUUUUACGUUUACUGGCGAUCUUUUGUUCAUUAUGUGUAGAUUAUGAUUCAAUAGAGGAAAAAAACUUGAAUUUUUAUAAUGGAAAAGACGUGUACUUAUUUCUUGUGAAAAUCCCAUUCAAAUAAUCUAGUGGUUUUUCCUGUUAUAGCACGAAGCAGGGAUUUUAUUUUUUUGUGUUCAUACUUGACUACGUUUUCUCCUUAUGUGUUUAAGUCGCCUUUUUUUAAAUUUUUUUUGUCUUUUCUUUGUUCUUUUUUUUUGGAAUAUAAAUAUUUUUUUAGUGACCGUCUGUUGAGCUUAUGCAUCAUUUUACCUUGUUAAGAUCGACAUUUUCUUUUCAUGUAUAUCACGUAAUGUGUAGUUAAUCUUACUAGAUUCGAAUAAUUUAUGAAGAUCAGCACAUUACUAAGAGUGCAAUUUAAGAUGAAUCUGCUCCCCGCUGAGUCAUAACACUAAUGUAUCUUUUGGCUUGAGUGGCAUUGUUGAUGAAUCUGAUUAAAGAAAGCAUGAUGUGGGAUUCAAUCAAUGAUUUAGUAGAAUAUUCGAUCUUUCCAGUUAAAUGCUUAGAGGACUUGUGUCUUAACUAUUGCCUGAUGAAUGUCAAAAAUGGUAACCAUUCAAGACGUAAUUAUUUGUCCAUCUUUCUGCCUAAUCUAAGGUCCAUUUGAUGUUGUGUAUCUCUUACUGAGAGAAUAAGUUAGUUCAAGUCUUAAUUUGCCUUUAGAAUUAAUUAGCCAUUUAGUGAUCUCAUAGCUUUAAAAAAAUAAAUAUCUACGGUGGAGAUUUUUCUGUCUUUUCACUUCAGACUCUCUUUAAAGAACAUUCACCCCUCUAACUAAUUCUCUUGUUCACUGGCUGUAAAAAAUAAAAGGAGGCUGUGUUUCUCGAGUUUCGUUUCAUUCCUAUGAAUGUGUUGCCGUUUAUUUAAUCAUUCUCCUCUUUACUCGAUUGUAUAUUAAUCCGCAUUUUCUUUUUAUUGGAUGAACUCUCCUUAUGAGUCCCCCGGACUCUCAUUUUUCGCAUUCGGUUGGGUUAACCCCAACUUCCAUCGAGUCAAGAUCCAUGUCAAGUCCGAAAAGGGACUAAUAUGCAAGAAACAAAGGCUGAUAUACAUUGAUAUACUCUGAUAUACGAGUGGUAUACACUGGAAGCAGCAGUUGCACACUUAUCACACGACUUAUGAUGAAAAAUGGAGCCAAAAUAAGCAGGUUUUCAUGCUGAUAUGCACUGCAUACACAGUGAUAUACAGAAAACGUAGGGAAAAGAGCUGCUCAUAUACAACGGAUAUACAGGGGUGAAAAUGGGCUGAAAGUCCAUGGAAUUAGUCCAAGAGCUGGACAGGCCCAAAGGGGCCCAAUUUUAACUUCUCUAUUUAUUAUUCAUUCUAAUUUGUUUAUUUGUAUUUACUUGAACAUUUUAAUCAAUUAAUUUAGAUAAAUUCCUGUUGCCAUUUUUCUUUAUCUUCAUUUCUUUUCCUUUCUUUCACUUAUUCGAAUUUCCUUAUGCACUUCAUCUUGUUUUAAAAAGUGAAAAAACUACUCUAUGUUAAUCUUUUUUUUUGGAAACAAGCCUUUCACAUUAAGGUGACUUUUUUCUUGUUCAUGUAGUAAUUAGUGUCCUUUAGGCUAAAUAGAAUUUUCUUAAACAUAAAAAGAAAUAGUUUUUUGUCUUCAUGAAUUGGUUAUCUAAAAAAAUAGAAUAUUGAAUGAAAUAAAAGCUAUUUUCAAAAAUUGCUCGAUUCAAGUUUGAUAUUUCAUAAAAAAAAAAAAAGUUAAUAUUUUCAUAAAGUUAGCCACCCUUUUAAGUUAGUCAAAAUAUUUUGAUAAACUAUUUUAAAACGGACGUUCCUAAGUGCCUUAAAAUCCUUUUUAGGAGGUUAAUUGAACCCUUACCCAUUUUCCUUUUUAAAGGUUUAUUUCUAUUUUUGAACCUUUAGAAUUCUUUUAAGUUUUCUUGAUUUUUUUAUAAAAAUUAAGUGGCAGAUCUGUAAUUUUUCUCGAGUUAUUUUGAAAUUUUCCUAAGUUUUAAAAUGAUUUGAGAAUUCAAAAAUUAUUUUCUUAUAAAUAAAUUGUCUUUUCUUUGGUAAAUUCGAAGAGGGAUAAAAUAUCAACUUUUGUUGACUUUUCUAGGUGAGCAAUUGAAGUUUGAUCGUAAAGAAAAGACAUUACUUUAAACAUUAAUCCUACGUACUAGGAAAGAUGUUUCCUUAUUUAUUUUAUUUAAAUUCUUUAAGUUUUAUUCAAAAUUCGAGCAAAGACAAUGUGUUUGUUUGGAACUCCGAAAGAGUUUAAAAAUAGAUCAUCAGAAUUGGUUUAAUUUUCUGGUAUUUUUAUAAUACUUUGAAGUAGGGGUGACAAAUUUGCCCCAAGCCUAAAUAACCUGCAAUCAGUCUAGAUUAUAAUGGGUUGGGCAUGACCCAUUCUUAAGGUGGGCUAGAUUUGGGUAAACCCAACUUAACUUAUUUAUUUUGACAACCCAAAAUAAGCUCAUAAAUUUAGCCCAAAUUGACGCAUCCCAAAUUAAAAUGGUUGCCCUGAUUUCUCUGAGAUAUUCUAGGAAGUGCAAGUCUCGACUUUCAACUCCAAGUCAUUGUUUCUCUUUGAAUUCUUCAACAAGUUCCUUAUCAUUUACAAAUUUAUUGUAUGUUUACAUUUAUUUUCAUUUCUUUCCUCCCUCUCUAUGCUUGUUAAAAAUCAUGGUGAAGAAUUUUAAUAUUACUCAUAAUUUGAUUUUUUGUUGAAGGCCAACUAUUUUUUUUUCGUUUUUCAACUUUACUUGUAAUUUCAUUUGGUAAUUAAUAUAAAAUUUUAACUUAUAUUUUGUUGUAACUUGAGAUUUUGAAUUUUAAAUCCUAAUAGUUUUGAAAUUAUUAGGCAGACUUGUUGCCUAUAAGGUGUUUUCUCAAUUGCCUUAAUGAGUCUCCUUUGUUGUGCACAGUAAUUUUGUACUCUAAUAAUGAUUGAGAGUUAUUUGCUUACAUUUUUGUUUCUUCCCUCUUUUUUGUUGAUUCAAGACUAAAGAUUAAUUUUUUUAACAUUCUACUAUAGCAGGUGAAAAUAUUGAUAGAGCCCGAUGAAGUCAAGUAUAAUGAAAUAAUUAUUGCAAGUUCAUCAAAAUAGUGUAGGACUACUUCUAAAUUUUGGGACUUCUAUGAUGAGCUGCCAUUGAAUUAUGAUCCUUAUAAUAGACUUCAGUCGGAAUAUAAGAAGCACAAGAAAGUGUUUAUGGCUGACUCAGUAGCAGGAGAUACAAAUUUAAAGCAUCACGUAGAAAAACACAAGGAUAAAGUAACAAGAUAAAGAUAUGUCUAUUGAUCAUAAAGAAUAUUGUGAAGUUAUUGCGAAAAGUGCUAGAAAAGUGCAUAUAUUCUUUUAUCCUGCCAUCAAAACCAUCUAAAAAAAAUAUCACAAAAGUUGAUGUGAUUAGAAUAUAUGAUAACAAAAAGGAGAUAGUCAAGAAUGAGCUUUAAGCUAUUCUAAAGAGAACUAGUGAUGACAUCUGUAUAUCUUUGUCUUAUUGCACACUAUGUUGAUUUGGAUUAGACUUUACAAAAGAAAGUUCUCAUUUUUCGUCUUAUGCCUCCUCCUUAUAGCGGUGUUGUUUUGGGUUCAAAGUUGAUUCAUCUAUUGAAGAAAUGAAAAAUUGAGAAGAAAAUAUUUUCAAUAACUUUAGAUAAUAAUGAAGGUGU
This 4189-nucleotide long non-coding RNA is filed under the name Capsicum annuum. RNAcentral's name for it is "long non-coding RNA (CANN_LNC011682)". The record is from RNAcentral. Lineage: Eukaryota; Viridiplantae; Streptophyta; Magnoliopsida; Solanales; Solanaceae.